CAUAUGCUUGUCUCAAAGAUUAAGCCAUGCAUGUCUAAGUUCACACUGUUCAACGGUGAAACCGCGAAUGGCUCAUUAAAUCAGUCGAGGUUCCUUAGAUGACACGAUCCUACUUGGAUAACUGUGGCAAUUCUAGAGCUAAUACAUGCCUAUGAAGCUCCGACCCGUCUGGGGAAGAGCGCUUUUAUUAGUUCAAAACCAAUGGCCGUGUCGGUGUCAAAGCCGCGCGGUGACCCCACUGGUGACUCUGGAUAACUUUGUGCUGAUCGCAUGGCCUUUGCGCCGGCGACGCAUCUUUCAAAUGUCUGCCCUAUCAAAUGUCGAUGGUACGUGAUAUGCCUACCAUGUUUGUAACGGGUAACGGGGAAUCAGGGUUCGAUUCCGGAGAGGGAGCAUGAGAAACGGCUACCACAUCCAAGGAAGGCAGCAGGCGCGCAACUUACCCACUCCCGGCACGGGGAGGUAGUGACGAAAAAUAACAAUACGGGACUCUCUACGAGGCCCCGUAAUUGGAAUGAGUACACUUUAAACCCUUUAACGAGGAUCUAUUGGAGGGCAAGUCUGGUGCCAGCAGCCGCGGUAAUUCCAGCUCCAAUAGCGUAUAUUAAAGUUGUUGCAGUUAAAAAGCUCGUAGUUGGAUCUCAGGUGCAGGCGGGCGGUCCGGCUCGCGCCGGUUCACUGCCCGUAUUUCCUGCCCUACCGUCUGUCGGCUCUCUCCCGCGGGUGCUCUUCGCUGAGCGUCCCGGGUGGCCGGCGCGUUUACUUUGAAAAAAUUAGAGUGUUCAAAGCAGGCCUCGGCUGCCUGAAUAAUGGUGCAUGGAAUAAUGGAAUAGGACCUCGGUUCUAUUUUGUUGGUUUUCGGAACUGGAGGUAAUGAUUAACAGGGACAAACGGGGGCAUUCGUAUUGCGGCGUUAGAGGUGAAAUUCUUGGAUCGCCGCAAGACGAGCUACUGCGAAAGCAUUUGUCAAGAAUGUUUUCAUUAAUCAAGAACGAAAGUCA
This 1001-nucleotide ribosomal RNA is filed under the name Philine sp. A TRO-2019. RNAcentral describes it as "SSU rRNA". It matches the Rfam family "Eukaryotic small subunit ribosomal RNA", at positions 25 to 992 of the family's 1831-position model. The record is from RNAcentral. Lineage: Eukaryota; Metazoa; Mollusca; Gastropoda; Cephalaspidea; Philinidae.